GGGCCCUUAGCUCAGUUGGGAGAGCGCCUGCUUCGCAUGUAGGAGGUCGUCGGUUCAAAUCCGGUAGGGUCCA
RNAcentral lists this transfer RNA (73 nucleotides) under Lactiplantibacillus mudanjiangensis. It matches the Rfam family "tRNA". Rfam says of the family: Transfer RNA (tRNA) molecules are approximately 80 nucleotides in length. Their secondary structure includes four short double-helical elements and three loops (D, anti-codon, and T loops). RNAcentral also lists the same sequence under 5 other names. Lineage: Bacteria; Bacillati; Bacillota; Bacilli; Lactobacillales; Lactobacillaceae. The record is from Rfam by way of RNAcentral.